This 31-nucleotide non-coding RNA is filed under the name Rattus norvegicus (Norway rat). The record is from RNAcentral. Lineage: Eukaryota; Metazoa; Chordata; Mammalia; Rodentia; Muridae.
UGCUGUUUGGUGACAGAAAACAGGCUAAGCC